GGGAGUAUGGAUUUGACCCCUGGUUGGGGAACUAAGAUCCCACAUGCCCAGCUCAGUGUGGCCAAAAAAAAUUUUUAAUUAAAAGUCUUUUAUAAGGUGGAAAAAUUUAUUUUUGAAUAUAUUGGCUGAGUACAUCCUUGUGGACUGAGCAAGAAAUCUCACAUUAAAGCAAUGUCUCCCAGUGAUAUUUUCAUGGCUUUCUUACCACAUUCUAACUCACCUUUGAUAUGUUUGAUGGGAAACCAUCAAUGGACACCCUGAUAACAUCAAACCACCAAAAUUUCCUAUCAUUCAUUGCACAUAAAAUUUCCUAUUUUUCCAGACUCUUAUGGAAAAGAAGAUUGGCUGCCAUGAAAAAGUGGAAUGUUGUUUAUUUUCCUUAUUGAAUGCAUGUGACAAACCUUUUUAGGACUUAAAAAUUCUGGUAAGAACUCCUCCAUAUAAGUCCCAGGAACCAACUGAAAUGGCCAGGCCAUGGUUGCUGAGCUCAGCCUGGUAUUUCCUGCCUCUGCAUCCAGAUUCCUUCCCUGUCCCUGGGAGCCCUUCUCUGCUUCUCCUUGCUGAGGUCACAUUCAUUUGCCUAAUGUGCUCCUAUCUAUAGAAGUAGCUCUUAAAUCUGCCAUGUGAGAAUCAUUUUUCCCACCUUGGACCCCACUCAUUUAUGACUAUUUCUACAUCCAGCAUGAUAACAUAAACGUUUUUGAAGUUGAAAGUUUUGAGUUAAAUUCUUCUUGCCAAGAAGCAUUAAGUUCCCUCUGGCUUUGAAUGAUCCCUCAUAGCAGCAGUCCCCAGCCUUUCUGACACCAGAGACUGGUUUCCUGAAAGACUGUUUUUCCACGGACUGGGAUGUGUGGUUUUGGGGAUGAUUUACAUGCAUUACAUUUACAAUGCGAUUUAUUACAUCAGCUCCACUUCAGAUCAUUAGGCAUUAGAUCCCAGAGGUUGGGUACCUGUGGGAACGUAACUCAAAUUCUUAAAAAUGGUAGGAACCCCAAAGGUAUUUCCUAGUUAAAGAAAUACAUAAAUAAGUCCUGUAACCCAGUGUCGUAGUGGGAAAUUAGGAGGCUUGAAGCCAUUGGUAAUAUAGUCGGGUAAAGCCUAUCUAAUAGGCAGGGUGAUUAAAUACUAUAAUUCUCAAUGCAUCUGGACCUGAUCACCCUUUUAACUCUUAGCCCCGU
Bos taurus (domestic cattle) is the source of this 1178-nucleotide long non-coding RNA. NCBI's taxonomy places the organism in Eukaryota, Metazoa, Chordata, Mammalia, Artiodactyla, Bovidae. The record is from Ensembl.